This 75-nucleotide transfer RNA is filed under the name Chloroflexota bacterium. RNAcentral describes it as "tRNA-His". It matches the Rfam family "tRNA". From Rfam's summary of the family: Transfer RNA (tRNA) molecules are approximately 80 nucleotides in length. Their secondary structure includes four short double-helical elements and three loops (D, anti-codon, and T loops). The record is from RNAcentral. RNAcentral also lists the same sequence under 1 other name. Lineage: Bacteria; Bacillati; Chloroflexota.
GGGAUGUUAGUUUAAUGGUUAGAAUGCCUGGCUGUGACCCAGGAGACGCCGGUUCAACUCCGGCCCAUCCCCCCA